Small nuclear RNA from Sorex fumeus (smoky shrew), 105 nucleotides. Lineage: Eukaryota; Metazoa; Chordata; Mammalia; Eulipotyphla; Soricidae. The record is from RefSeq and is a predicted model, not a curated record.
AUGCUCACUUUGGCAGCACAUAUACUAAAAUUGGAACAAUACAGAGAUUAGCAUGGCCUCUGUGCAAGGAUGACACCCAGUUUUCCAGAAGCUUGGCAGUCACAC